AAUCCCGUGAACCAUCGAGUCUUUGAACGCAAGUUGCGCCCGAAGCCCUCGGGCCGAGGGCACGCCUGCCUGGGCGUCACGCAUCGCGUCGCCCCCUCCCCCGCUCCCCGGAGCGGGGGGUGGAGAUUGGCCUCCCGUGCGCCCAGUCGUGCGGCCGGCCC
This 161-nucleotide ribosomal RNA is filed under the name Odontonema tubaeforme. Its description in RNAcentral is "5.8S ribosomal RNA". The stretch from base 1 to 79 matches the Rfam family "5.8S ribosomal RNA", at positions 78 to 154 of the family's 154-position model. Lineage: Eukaryota; Viridiplantae; Streptophyta; Magnoliopsida; Lamiales; Acanthaceae. The record is from RNAcentral.